UACGAAGGGGGGCUAGCGUUGUUCGGAAUCACUGGGCGUAAAGGGCGCGUAGGCGGCUCUAUAAGUCGGGGGUGAAAGCCUGUGGCUCAACCACAGAAUUGCCUUCGAUACUGUAGAGCUUGAGACCGGAAGAGGUAAGUGGAACUGCGAGUGUAGAGGUGAAAUUCGUAGAUAUUCGCAAGAACACCAGUGGCGAAGGCGGCUGUCUGGUCCGGUUCUGACGCUGAGGCGCGAAAGCGUGGGGAGCAAACAGG
This 254-nucleotide ribosomal RNA is filed under the name uncultured bacterium. RNAcentral's name for it is "partial 16S ribosomal RNA". It matches the Rfam family "Bacterial small subunit ribosomal RNA", at positions 524 to 776 of the family's 1533-position model. The record is from RNAcentral.